GAUGAACGCUGGCGGCGUGCCUAAUAAAUGCAGGUGGGCGGACAGAAAAGGAGGUUGUUCCUUUUACGUUUGGCGCGGACCGGGGGGUUAAACGAUGGUUAACUACCUAUUAGACCGGGAUAACUCCCGGAAACCGGGGCUAAUUGCGGACAACAAUUAGAAACGGAUGGUUUCAAAGUGAAAGAAGGUUUUGCUUAUCACUAUAGGAGGACCCGGGCCGGAUUAGCUAGUUGGUAAGGUAACGGCUUACCAAGGCAACGAUACGUAGCCGACCUGAGAGGGUGAUCGGCCACACUGGAACUGAGACACGGUCCAGACUCCUACGGGAGGCAGCAGUAGGGAAUCUUCCACAAUGGGCGAAAGCCUGACGGAGCAACGCCGCGUGAGUGAUGAAGGUCUUCGGAUCGUAAAACUCUGUUAUUAGGGAAGAACAAAUGUGUAAGUAACUGUGCACGUCUUGACGGUACCUAAUCAGAAAGCCACGGCUAACUACGUG
RNAcentral lists this ribosomal RNA (496 nucleotides) under uncultured bacterium. RNAcentral's name for it is "partial 16S ribosomal RNA". It matches the Rfam family "Bacterial small subunit ribosomal RNA", at positions 28 to 507 of the family's 1533-position model. The record is from RNAcentral.